Long non-coding RNA from Canis lupus familiaris (dog), 7021 nucleotides. RefSeq lists it as uncharacterized. NCBI's taxonomy places the organism in Eukaryota, Metazoa, Chordata, Mammalia, Carnivora, Canidae. The transcript is spliced from 3 exons. The record is from RefSeq and is a predicted model, not a curated record.
CAGAAGCCCGCUUGCCCAGCAGUCUCACCCGACCCCAAAGUGGUCCCAGAACAUGACCAAAAUGUGGUUGGGGAAGCUUCUGCUGAUAUCUAGAUCUAUCUGUUUGAUGUACCAGGAGGAGACCUGGGCCUCCUCCUUCAUUCCUGUGGCGAGAACCGGGGAGGAGGAGCCAGCAUUAGCGACACAGAACACUAACUGUCACCAACUGUCAUCCUAAGCAGGAGCACUGCUGGUCACCAUGGCGUGGAGGAUCCUUCCACACGCUGGUGCAGGAGAUGCGGUAGCACAAGGUGUGCAAGCUGAGCCCGCCCGGUGAGGGGGCCUGGGAGCAUGAGCUGCAAGUGCCUGCUGUCCUGACGUCACUACCAGGGCCACGUUGCCCGCCCCGAUGGCUCUCUAUGUCCCAGGAUCAGAGGUUCAGGGCAAAGAAGGUUGGAAGCGCCCCAGAGGCCAGCCAGUCCAGGCUCCCUGGACAGAGGCAGCGCAGAUCUCCCAGGGCACUUUGCACAGACCGUCGUGAACUGAGGCCCCCGGCCCCGGCUGUCACUGUCUCCCAGCCCUAUCCUGACCUGUGGGGCACAGGCUGAGUCGCAGUAAGUCUGUGAAUGUCCUGCCCCUGACAUCUGGCUGACCUUGGAAGACAGGAGGGCAGGUCAGCUUUGUGUUCCUGCCGGCCCCUGUGUAGAGCUAUUAGGGGCCUGGGCAGGGCCCCCUCCUCCCUUCUGGGGUUCUGUCCCCUCCUUUGUACAGAGCUCUGGCAGAUGCAGAAACGAGGUGGCCGUGCAUUUUAACACAACCACACUUUAUUGAACUUUCAACAGCAAACAGGGGCUCAGGGCUGAGGGUGCGCGCCUUCCCCUCUGGAGGGGGACCUUCCUUUCUUUUAGGAGAAAGCCAAAGUCACAUGGGGGUGUUGGUGCCAGAGUCCCCCAGCUUGAAAGCUGUGCUGACCCCGAAUGGGGGCACGAGUCCUGAGGUUGGGGCCUGAGAGGCAGUUCUGAGGACAGCGGACCAGACCUGGACCUGCAACUUCAGGGUUCUUGCGCUGGAUCCCAGCAGGUCAUCUGGACCCCUAGUUUCUGGCUCACGUGCCAGGGGACUGACUGCUGGAGACCCAGCAUGUGGAGGCCCAGGAGCAUGGAGGCAGAGAUCAGAUGGCCCCAGGACUCUGUGGGGCCUUGGGGUUGUGGGUUCAGCGCUGCCCUGGCACGGGCUGGCCCUGCCUAUCACUGCCCAGCGAGGGACUUGAACUGCUGUGGCCACAGGACAGGAAGGUAUCUGGAUCCCUAUAGUGUCAUCUUAGUGGGCUGGGUGGACCCCGUGAGGGGCGUCCAAGGGGGAUUCUAUUGUCUGGUUUGCUGUGUGGCCUGUGGUGUGGCCCAGGCAGGUGCCAAAGCGAACGGGACCCAGUGUUCUGGCUUCAGGUCCUUGUUUGGGUGCCACCUGCCUGCAUUGUACUGGUUCUCUGGGAGCAUGAGGAGGGGUAUUAUCUCUACGGGGCCUCCGGGCCAGCGAGGUGUCCUGGGCUGGGGGCAGCUGAGACAGAAGCAGAGCCCCCAGUGUUCCCAGACACAGGUGUACAGCCGUGGGCUCUGGGGAGCUUCCCUCCUGCAGCAGCUCCUUGGCCUUGAGGAUGACCCUGCCAGGAGGGGGUCCAGGCUGCUCACGUUGUGUGGCUGCGCCUGGGGAGGUCUGCUCGUCCACUCUGGGCAGCGUCUAGGUAAUAGAAGGGAGGGAGAGGCUCAAUUGCCGGGACACUCACUCCAGGCCCAGGGGCCUCCUGAGGUAACUCUCCAGGUCCUGUUGGAAAGAGGCAGGCUGGUUUUGCAUCUCCAGUAGGCUGUAUGUCCCCAGCUGGAGGGCCCCAGGGGUCCUCUUGGCUCCCGGGUGGUCCCCCUGGCUUGACGCUGUCCACAGCCCUCCACACUGCUGGUACCCAGCCCCUGCAGUGAGUGCCUGCACACUCAGUCCCGGCCUGGUUUCCCUGAGGCUGGAGCAGAAGAGGAGAGGGCCAGAGAUGAGGAGGAAAACCCGGGGGCCCUAUCCACGUGAACAGCCCCAGCAAGUGGAAUCGGGAGGGGAUGGAGCCCUAGGUACACCUGGGCGGGGGCAGUUCACACUUCAUCUUUCGGAGCUGGGUCGUGGAGGCCCAAAGUUGUCUGAGCACCACCUCAUCCUCCAGGGCCCAGGGCCGGACCAGCACGUCCUGCAGAAACUCCCGAGGACCUUCCAAGGGCAGCUUCAGGAGGCUCUCUGGGCAGUGGGUGUGAGUGAGACCCAGAGGCUCCCUGCUCUGUGGCCUCCAGGUGCCUCCCAAGGGCAGCAGCUGAGGGUCCAGCUGUGCAGGAUCACCGUGGGCAGUGCUAUGACCGAGGGAGGGCCCUGCCUGCUGCUCACUCAGGGAGUCCUGAUCAACUCGCCUGCUCAGCCGUCCCCCCGUCCCCAGGCCUGGGUGCUGCUCAGAGUAGGGGGUCAACACCCCUGUCCCCUCACCCCCAGCCUCGGGCACACCUGGGCACCCAGGGGCCCACUUACUCCUGUGUACUUUGAGGAUCAUGUAAGCCAUGGCUGUGAGCACACGCUCCACGUCCAGGAUUUACACGUCCCAGUGCUUUUGGGUAGGGAUAAGGGGUUUUAUGGGAGCAAGGGUAGGGAGGAGCGGCCUGAGCAGAGCCCCUUGGGGUCUCCCAUCUUCCCAUAACCUCCGCCGCUCCCACCCCCCGGGCUACAUCCGGGGAGGCACCACAGCCCCUCCUGGGCAUGUACUCCUCCCAGGAAGUACAGGGCUCCAGGCCACUCUGGGUUCUGAUCCUGGCCAGCACUACCCACAGACCUGGGGGCACAGACUCUGCCCCCAUUUCUACCAACAUGCCACAAGGACCCCAGGCUGGCUGCAGAAUGGCCCGAGGGCUCAUCCACACCCCAGGCUGACCAGGCCUCCCUGGGGGAGCUGAGGCAGAGACAGCCUGUUCCCUCGAAACUCCUCCAGGGACACUCUGGGCUUCUUAGGUGGGUCUGGGCUGUGAGCCUCAGCCUUCUGGCCCAAGGUCUGGCCUGGCUUGUCUGUAGGGUGGGGUUGAACUCCGCCCUCCCUGGGGUCAGGGGACAGGAUGAGGCAGCAGGGUUCCUCGGGUUCCCUUACCUAAUUGACAAAACACUGAAGGAACCACUUGGGAUGUAAAUGCCAGUGCACGUCAGUUCCUCGCCCUGGCAGAAGGAGAGGAGAUGCUCAGGCCCCACACUGCAGCCCCGUGGAGCCAGGUGGACCUACUUCCAGUGGCCCCUCAGAGCCUCGAGGGUGCCCCAAGCUUCCCAGAGGGAGGAACUUGACACCAAACUGGGGCAGCUCAGAAGAGCCGUGCUGGCACCCCCUGCCCUGGGGCCAAGGGGAUGGAGCCUCUGGGGAGCAUCUACUCGCCAUGUGCUUCUUCAGCUUGGGGUGAGCUCUGUCUAGAACGUGCUCGCCUAGGACCUCAGCAAUUUGGUGAACCCUGGAAUCAAGAAGCCUGAGAAGGCCCCAGAUCCCCAAAGAUCAGGGUCUCCUCCUGCAACAGGCCAGGCAGGGGGGCCAUCCUGGCAGGGGCCUCUUCCCCCACGCCUUGACCACCGACCCCGAUGCAGGUGUCAGACACCUUGUUCUCCACAAAGCAGGCAUGGAGACCCCUCCUCUGGGUGCCCAGGGGCCGUCCCCCAGGCCCAGAUCCCUUCCUACCCACUUCCAGGGUUUUCCUCUUGGGUCUCUCAGCUCUAGCCUAGGGCAGACAUGGCCCUCAGAGGGCCCAAGGGGAAGAGGUCCUGAUCUGGGGGGAUGUGCCAGCCUCAAGAGAGGCACCUCCUGAGAUGGAUGAAGGGGUGUCCAGGGAACUCAAUGCAGAAAACUCUGAUUGUCCGUGACCUUCCACAGUGACGGGUCAGCGUCAUCCCAAGGGUCCUAUGGAGACCAUACCCGGCGUGCCUGAAACAGAGGGGACCGAUCAGUGCCAGGGACAUGGGGAAAGGAGGGAGCAGAAUGGCUCCUCUCCCCUGAAUCCUGAGGGAGAUCAGGCCCCUCUGAGAUUGUCCGGGAAUGAGGGGAAGGGCCUUUCUGCCCAAUGGGAGCAGCCUGACAGCCUUAUCUGCUUCUACCAGAGAUGAUUCCCACCUGGGCCUGACCUGACCUGGUGACUCUGGUCCCCACCUGAGCCUCACCUGGACCUGGUGACUGUGGUCCCCAUCUGGGCUCAUUGGCAACUGAUGACUAUGAGCCAAGAUUGACUCUCACUUCUACUGAUACCCGGGGUCCGUCCCCAGGAUCUCAUUUGAUCUUGGUUUCUGUGGUCCUUGUCUGGGCUGAACUAACUCAUGCUUGGCUCAUGCUUGGCUCUGAUCCCCUCCUGGGCCUCACCUGUUCUUGCAGAUGUGGUCCCCACAUCUAGUGGGUGCUCUAGUGUCUAUGGUAUUUGUCUGGGCUUCAGCUGAUGGUAUUCGGCUAUGAUGUCAGCCCUUUCCAAGGCCAGCAGGGUCUCUAGGUCCUCUUGCCUGGGGCUGCAAACCACACUCAUCCGAGGAUGACACCACAUGAAAACCUUCAGAGGACACAUGCGUCUGUGUGCUCCCUGUGGGCAGGUCCCCAUCUGUCUGACUGGAGGGUGGAGACAACACAGUAGCUCUGAGGGGGACGUGCUGGACUGGAGGAUCACUCAGGGGCACUCACUGUCUGUAGCUGGCCCACCUGCAGUCCACCUUCCCAGCCACUGUCCCAGGACAUGCCGUCAUGCUGAGAGGACAGAGCUCUCCCACCCCCCUUAUCAGUAGCACAAGGGGGCCCAUGAGGCUGCGGGGAGCUGCUGACCUGAUGCUUGGUGUGACGUUUCCCAGCCCAGGGCUGGCCCCGAGAUGGUGGUGGAUGUGCCUGCCAGAGAGUAUUCCUGUGGGCUUGGGGCAGACCGAAGGUUUCUCUUGGAUUCCAUAAGAAGAAUGACCAAAGGGAAAAAGUAAUGAACUGGACUUCAUCAAAAGUAAAAACUUAUGCAAUGAUUUGUGAAUAGCCUGAGGAGGGUUAUGCGGGAGCACGAGGGACUCCAUGUUCCAGUUUGUGAAGAUCAAGCCUGCUCAUGAGCCAGAAGGACCGAGAGAGCCCUGACCAUCCACCCCGGACCACAGAGUGGGGGGAUUGGUCAUCACAUGUUGGGGUCAUGCACCUAAGACGGACUGGAAAGGUCAUGGCUUGACCUGUUGCCUCCUGCACAGAACAGGGCUUGAGGGGAGCGGGGGUCCCGCAUGAGCCGCCCGAGCCCUGAACACAGGCUCCUUCCCUGGCCUGGGGCAGCAGGGAGGCAGCCCUCACCCUGUGGAGCUGUGGAAGGGCUCCAGGAGCUGCCUCAUGGGCAUCACAUGGGGUUUGGUGUGUUCUCACCCCAGCCCAGGAGGCCAACACCUGCAGCAAGACCCACAGGACCUACAGUGGCCCAAGGGGGGCCGGGAGCAGCUCCCAGUCACCUGUGAACUGUCACCUUGUGAGUGCCUACACUUUAUACACUGAGUUACUGGUGAGAGUGGGCUGGUCGGGCACUGAGCCAGAUCCGGAGCACGGGUGCCUCCAAGAGCCUGCGGACACAGAGUAGCGCCAGGCAUUGGAACCCUGGGGCACCACAGUUCCGCCCACAAUGGAGCCCCGUGUCAUCACUGUAGGUCUGGGGUCCAGUCAGCACUUAGCCCUGUACUCUGAAGGUGAGGGGAGGCCCUGUCUCCAUGCCAAGUGGGAAGGGGAUGCAGGCACCCUCCCACAUCCUUAGUUCCCACCUUCAGGCCCUCCAGGCCUCCCACCCCUCUAGGUAGACUGGGUGUCCCAGCUGUCCUCCCACCCCCAAGGGUUCACAGCGUGGAUUUUGCACUUAAGAACAUUUGAGGGGCUCCUGGGUGGUUCAGUCAGUUAAACAUCGACUCUUGAUUUUGGCUCAGGUCAGGAUCUCGAGGUUGUAGGGUGGAGCCUCACGUGGGUUUGGGUUCUGGCCGGUGGGGAGUGUGGUGAGAGUCUCCCUUUACCUCUGCCCCUCCCACUGCACACUCUCUCAAAUCUUUUAAAAAUCAACAUUGAAGACAUUUGAGAAAUCUUUAUCAUCUCUGCAGUGGUGCCUUCAUAUGUGUAAUGGCUAUGUAAAUGCUUUUUAAAAAAAUUUUCACUUCUCUGGAAUAAAUUCCCAGGAGUGCUCUGCUGAAUUAUGUGGUAAUUGUAUGCAAAAUCUUUUUUUGAUAAAACUGCUAAACUCUUUCCCAGGAGUGAUUGUUAGAUUUUACAAAAACUGUGUGGAACCUGUUUUCAAAGCAGUUGUCUAGAUACUGAAGUGUGACUGUUGGACCCUCAGGUGAGAUUAAUUGAGCCUUGGAAAAAACUGCUAAAGUCUCUUCCAAAGCAACCGUAUUUAUAUCCGCAGCAUGAAGGAGCGUUCCUGUCAUAUAUCUCCCUCCAGCAACUAGUAUCCUCCUUUUUGGGACUUUAGCCUUUGUAGGGGCGCCUGGGUGGCUCGGUUGCUGGGGUGCCUGUGUGGCUCAGUUGGUUAAGCGUCUGCUUUGGCUCAGGUCAUUAUCCCUGGGUCCUGGGAUCGAGGCUUGCAUCGGGAUCCCUGCUUUGGGGGGAGCCUGCUUCUCUCUCCUUCUGCCUACCUCUACCCCUACUUCCUUGCUCACUCUCUGUCAAAUGAGUAAAAUUUUUUAAAAAAGUAAAAUUUCUAAAAGGUGUGUAGCACCAUCUCACUGUUAUUCACAUUGGCAACUUCCUAAUGCUAGAGGAUGUAGAACAUACUUUUGUAGGCUUGCUUAUUUUCUGUGUGUCCUCUUUGUCCAGGUGUCUGCUCACAUAGUCACCCAUUGUUAAUUAAGUUAUCUGUUUUCUUAUUGUUAUGAGGGUUUUUUUGUGUAGAUUGAAUAAAAAUUAAAAAUGUUGAAUAUCCGAUGUGUGUUUUGAACACAUAUUCUCUUCAGUUUGUGAGUGGUCUUUAGGUUCCCUGGGCAAUGUCUUUCAAAGAGUAGCAGUUUUAAAUUU